RNAcentral lists this transfer RNA (59 nucleotides) under Blaesodactylus ambonihazo. RNAcentral's name for it is "tRNA-Cys". The record is from RNAcentral. Lineage: Eukaryota; Metazoa; Chordata; Lepidosauria; Squamata; Gekkonidae.
UGAGGAUCACGCCAAAGUGCAAAUUUGGAGGGACACCCCCAGUGGGUGUCGGGGCUUCU